RNAcentral lists this ribosomal RNA (333 nucleotides) under Enterobacter sp. SMg13Ea. RNAcentral's name for it is "bacterial SSU rRNA". It matches the Rfam family "Bacterial small subunit ribosomal RNA", at positions 430 to 755 of the family's 1533-position model. Lineage: Bacteria; Pseudomonadati; Pseudomonadota; Gammaproteobacteria; Enterobacterales; Enterobacteriaceae. The record is from RNAcentral.
GUACUUUCAGCGGGCAGGAAGGUGAUGAGGUUAAUAACCUUGUCGAUUGACGUUACCCGCAGAAGAAGCACCGGCUAACUCCCUGCCAGCAGCCGCGGUAAUACGGAGGGUGCAAGCGUUAAUCGGAAUUACUGGGCGUAAAGCGCACACAGGCUGUCUGUCAAGUCGGAUGUGAAAUCCCCGGGCUCAACCUGGGAACUGCAUUCGAAACUGGCGGGCUAGAGUCUUGUAGAGGGGGGUAGAAUUCCGGGUGUAGCGGUGAAAUGCGUAGAGAUCUGGAGGAAUACCGGUGGCGAAGGCGGCCCCCUGGACAAAGACUGACGCUCAGGUGCG